AUUCCAUGAUGGGGACAUUCUAGGCUGUAGUCUUGAAAGCGCUCCCAUGCUUCUGGAACAGAUUCAUCAUUUUGUUGCUGAAAACUUGUAAUCUUCCCACGGAGAGC
Sorghum bicolor (sorghum) is the source of this 107-nucleotide small nucleolar RNA. It matches the Rfam family "Plant small nucleolar RNA R71". Rfam says of the family: R71 is a member of the C/D box family of snoRNAs containing the C (UGAUGA) and D (CUGA) box motifs. Multiple nearly identical copies of this snoRNA have been identified in Arabidopsis, and it is thought to function as a 2'-O-ribose methylation guide for 18S ribosomal RNA. The record is from Rfam. Lineage: Eukaryota; Viridiplantae; Streptophyta; Magnoliopsida; Poales; Poaceae.